ACAGAUGCCGGCGUCCUCGUACUGAGUGACGAGCAGAAAGGGAGGCUUGUUACGCCGUCUUGGACAGCCACGGAUGAAUCAACCUCAAUCUCCUGGCGAGAAGACCGGCACAGGUGCCCAUGGACUCUAGACAGUUCUCUGUGUGACUGUUAUUAAUUCAGCUACCCAACAGCACGAGUCGUCGUCUGAUGGGUAGAGCAACAAUCUGUAUCUCUGUGUCUAACUGCGAAUCCGUAUAUCCACGCUUUGUAGCUAACUUCAAAUAAAAAUUGAUCUCAUGGCUUAAAUACUGCCAUUAACUGUGCUUACUGUAAAAAAAGACUGUCUUCAUGUUGUAUUAUUAUUCUUACUCUGUGUACUUCAGUGAGGUACAGCAAAGCUCCACUCCCAACAUUUAUGUAUUUGUUCAUUUCUUGUUCAGUGUUAUGAGCUGACAAUGAUGCAGUGAUUCCAAGAGUGUAACUGUUGAUGGAAUGUUUGAAACACUGCAUGGAGAAGUAAAAUUUUCUUAUCACACCC
This is a long non-coding RNA of Pygocentrus nattereri (red-bellied piranha), 519 nucleotides long. RefSeq lists it as uncharacterized. Lineage: Eukaryota; Metazoa; Chordata; Actinopteri; Characiformes; Serrasalmidae. The transcript has 2 exons. The record is from RefSeq and is a predicted model, not a curated record.